GAUGAACGCUGGCGGCGUGCCUAAUACAUGCAAGUCGAGCGAACGGACGAGAAGCUUGCUUCUCUGAUGUUAGCGGCGGACGGGUGAGUAACACGUGGAUAACCUACCUAUAAGACUGGGAUAACUUCGGGAAACCGGAGCUAAUACCGGAUAAUAUUUUGAACCGCAUGGUUCAAAAGUGAAAGACGGUCUUGCUGUCACUUAUAGAUGGAUCCGCGCUGCAUUAGCUAGUUGGUAAGGUAACGGCUUACCAAGGCAACGAUGCAUAGCCGACCUGAGAGGGUGAUAGGCCACACUGGAACUGAGACACGGUCAAGACUCCUACGGGAGGCAGCAGUAGGGAAUCGUCCGCAAUGGGCGAAAGCCUGACGGAGCAACGCCGCGUGAGUGAUGAAGGUCUUCGGAUCGUAAAACUCUGUUAUUAGGGAAGAACAGAUGUGUAAGUAACUGUGCACAUCUUGACGGUACCUAAUCAGAAAGCCACGGCUAACUACGUG
RNAcentral lists this ribosomal RNA (497 nucleotides) under uncultured bacterium. RNAcentral describes it as "partial 16S ribosomal RNA". It matches the Rfam family "Bacterial small subunit ribosomal RNA", at positions 28 to 507 of the family's 1533-position model. The record is from RNAcentral.